Molecule: long non-coding RNA, 370 nt
Organism: Sinocyclocheilus grahami
Lineage: Eukaryota; Metazoa; Chordata; Actinopteri; Cypriniformes; Cyprinidae
Exons: 4
Source: RefSeq, a predicted model, not a curated record
GAUCUGAAGUUCAUCUACGGCCGGUAUAUCGACAUCUCCUCAGAGGAGGAGAGAAACAUGUUUGAUAUUGUUUUGAUGAAAGAGGGGAGGAUGAAAGGUCAGGCCUUCAUUGGGCUCCCCAGCGAGAGAAGCGCAGAGAAGGCCUUAAAGGAAACCAAUGGAUAUGUACUCAACGACAAACCUCUUGUGGUGCAAUUCGCCCGAUCUGCAAAACCUAAACAGGAAUCUGCUGAUUCAAAGAAAGGAGGGAAAAAACACUGAACUGAUGAUGUUGAUGUUCAAUCAUGAGCCUACAGGAGCUCCAUCUUUACUUCAUAUCCUUUAAAAUAUCCUUUAAAAGAGUUAUUUGAAUUGCUUGCUUUAAUAAAAA